This 432-nucleotide ribosomal RNA is filed under the name uncultured bacterium. RNAcentral describes it as "partial 16S ribosomal RNA". It matches the Rfam family "Bacterial small subunit ribosomal RNA", at positions 29 to 507 of the family's 1533-position model. The record is from RNAcentral.
ACGAACGCUGGCGGCAUGCCUAACACAUGCAAGUCGAACGAGACCUUCGGGUCUAGUGGCGCACGGGUGCGUAACGCGUGGGAACCUGCCCUUAGGUUCGGAAUAACUCCCCGAAAGGGGUGCUAAUACCGGAUAAUGUCUUCGGACCAAAGAUUUAUCGCCUUUGGAUGGGCCCGCGUUGGAUUAGCUAGUUGGUAGGGUAAAAGCCUACCAAGGCGACGAUCCAUAGCUGGUCUGAGAGGAUGAUCAGCCACACUGGGACUGAGACACGGCCCAGACUCCUACGGGAGGCAGCAGUGGGGAAUAUUGGACAAUGGGCGAAAGCCUGAUCCAGCAAUGCCGCGUGAGUGAAGAAGGCCUUAGGGUUGUAAAGCUCUUUUACCCGGGAUGAUAAUGACAGUACCGGGAGAAUAAGCUCCGGCUAACUCCGUG